RNAcentral lists this unclassified non-coding RNA (241 nucleotides) under uncultured fungus. RNAcentral's name for it is "sequence contains ITS1, 5.8S rRNA gene". The stretch from base 193 to 241 matches the Rfam family "5.8S ribosomal RNA", at positions 1 to 49 of the family's 154-position model. The record is from RNAcentral. Lineage: Eukaryota; Fungi.
UUUCCGUAGGUGAACCUGCGGAAGGAUCAUUAAUAAAAGGAUACCGUCACCGGUAUACCCCAUCCGUGUCUAUCUACUCUUGUUGCUUUGGCAGGCCGCGGUCUCGACCCUGUGGGCUUCAGUGCCUGCAAGUGCCUGCCAGAGGACCAAACUCUUGAAUUUAGUGAUGUCUGAGUACUAUAUAAUAGUUAAAACUUUCAACAACGGAUCUCUUGGUUCUGGCAUCGAUGAAGAACGCAGC